CUCAUGCAAAUCAUAUAGCACCUAAAAUAGGAACAGAUUUAUCCUCCUUCUUCGCGAGCGGAGAAGAUCGGCCUUCGAUUAACAAAAAAAUGCCAGUUCCGAGCAGCAGAAAUCCUAAAAUCUGAAAUCUCGCCGGAAUCGAGUCGAGGACGUCGGAAAACCAACCCAAAACGUCCAAGCAGUGAAGAUGCAACCCAUUAAUGGUGAUAGAGGUCUCAGAUCAACACUCGAUCUUUAUCGAAAUCAUCACCGACCAAAUAUCUCACGAAUACCCGAAAACUUUCCAACACGAGAAUCGUUGGAUCAUCGUCCUGCUCUGAUACCAUAAAAACAUAGAAGAAUCGAGAUGAAGAUUGAAGAAGAAGAUGAAGACGAGUCGGUUUGAGAGAAGCUUCUAGAGAGCUUCAGAAAG
Molecule: long non-coding RNA, 412 nt
Filed under: Nicotiana benthamiana
Lineage: Eukaryota; Viridiplantae; Streptophyta; Magnoliopsida; Solanales; Solanaceae
Description: long non-coding RNA (NBEN_LNC010675)
Source: RNAcentral